GGCAUUUAGGUCAUUUUAUAUGACCUCUAUACGUGCCCUUUUUGAGUGCGUGUAGCUUUUAAGUUACUCCCACAUAUAUGCAUCCCUUUUUCUUCUCUUCUAAUAUAUCGUAUACAAUAGAGUUACAGAGCUUACUCACAGCUUACUCAAAUUUUUUACUGGCUUCUCAAAUCUCUCCAACUUGCAGGUAAAUUUCUUACUCUUCAAAAUGAAUUUUGUUGCUAUCUAUGUGUUGUUUCUCCUUUUUUUGUUCCAAUUUGUUUCAAACCACAUACAAUUCUUUUUAUAUCAAUGGUAAGAUCACUAAGCAAUGGAGGUUUACCUCAAAUUCAUGAAAAUAAACUAAAUUAAAGACAGAUUUUGUCUAUAUUCAAGAAGAUCCGGAAAUUUUCGAGUUAGGAUUUUGAUGAAUGAAAUUGGGGGAAUUUUUUUUUUUUUUGUGGAGAUGAAUUAAAAUCAAGAGUUCGGCUUUGAAUAUUCAAUUUCUUUCAAAACUUGUAUUGCAAAUGUUUGUCUUCUCGCUCUAAAGUGUAGCUACAACUACUUUUUUUUCCUCCUUUUUUCUUGGUUCUUCCUUCUGUUUGGGUCAUUAUUGUUAGUUUUGAAAUUUAAUGGUUCCUGAUAUCUUCUCCUCUCAUUUUUUCAUCUUUUUUUUCCCUUUGUAUUCUUCGGCUAAUUUUGAAGUUUAGUGAUUAAAAUUUUCCUUUUCGCUUGUCGGGUUAUGUCGUGUCCAGAUUGGAGAAAUUUAAGUUCGACAUUAAAGUCACCAGAUAAUUUUUCUUCAUUUUAUAUUUUUGGGUGGUAGAAUUGUGAUAGAUAUAAAUCGACUAUUUGUGCCUCUUUUGGUGAUGGGCAUGAGCCAAACAAAUAUGAAUGAUUUAGAAAGAGUACAAAUCUUAGUGUGCGAUUUUUGUUUGACAUCACCAUUUGAUUUUCAUAUAAAGGUAAAUUUAGGGAAAAUAAAAGCUGCAACGUUGUAUCGACAAGUCGUUAAAAUUGGUGAUAAGACUUUUAUAGUCAUGUGUAAUAGAAUUAGCGUUUGAAUUCGGAUGAUUUUUAAAUAUUCAUGUAUUCAGCUUGAUUCUAUUUUUUAUCGUUUGGACUAUCGUUGCCUUGAUAUUCUUAUCCAUUCAGUAAAAGCAAAUCACAAUUUAUCCUUUGAUCAAGCUUUUCAAUUCAGUAAUAUAUGCUAGAUCUUUUUGUGUCAUAUGUUUUACUGCAGAAUAUUAGAAAAUGGAAGUGUUAUGAUAAGUAAACCGACAACCCUUUAUAGUUCGAAUACGAUAGUCGUGAUUGAUAAAGGCUGCUUGUACAUGUUCUGAAUAAUGAACUAUUUGCUACAUAUUUCCGUUGAAGGAGUUCUAGUGUAUAUUCUGCAUAUGAAAUUGCACAAUUGUAUCAUUAUAUUUCUUGCUCAAGUGCACUGAAACAGUUGAAAUUCAUUUUGAAUCAAGAAACGAUAAGUGUCCCUGGAAAAGACAGGGUAAGAGUAAUAUCCACAGUUGGUACUUAUGAAGGCAAGUAAGUCAAGGUAAAUAAAUUCAAUGUAGAAUUUAGAAGGUAAACCUAUUUGGCUCCGCUUUGUCACAAGCACGUUGAGGGUCAGAAGUUCAGGGAAAUUUUUCUCUUGUAUUUUUCCUUUUUUCUGGAUUGUGUAGUAUUUAUAAGAAUAGAGACACAAUCGAAGUCUAAAAAUAGUAGUAAUAGUGAUAGCAGGUUUUGAGUCUAUGACCAAAGUAGGAACCGAAGGAAUCAAGAAUCAAAUGGAGGACAUUCAGGAGAUAAGGGAUGGGAGAGGAAGAUGACAAAUGAAGAGAGAAUGUUGUGUAUGUGGGUCCUGAAUUCAGAUCCCUUCUUCGGUACAUUUUUAUUAUCUAUUUGGCAGCAUCUUUUAUUUUUACUUUAUCUUUUUUGGUUUUGUCUUCCUUAUUUACUUUUAUUGUACUCUUUGGAAUUAGCUUAAACUUGUUAAUACUAAACCAAUGUUAUUUCUUGUGAUCAUAUCUUCAGCGCGUGAGUGCUCAUUCAAAGUAAGUUUUUGAACAUUCUAUGUGAUUUUCAAUUGGUUCGAAUGUUGGAUUGUGGUUUUCAAUUAAUUACCUUUUAAUUACUCAAUUACUAGCUCUUCUAAGAAAUUUUGUGAUCCAAGAACUAAGGUUCGUCAAGUUAUGUGAAAUUAAUUAUUAUAUAGUUGAUAAGCUUAAUUGCUUCUGGUGGGUCAAACAGCCAGCAUUUCUUACAACAAAUCAUGGUGGAAAUAUAAUGGGCAAUGUCGCAUUGUAAAUGUCAAACUGCUUACGGUUAGCAUGUAUGCCUAAUCAUUUGUAAGCUGCAGAAAAGAAUGCCAUGUUCUACAUAGCUCUUGCACUUCAUAUCAUUCGAGAAAGAAAAACUUGAUUGUUUUGGUAUUCAUUCUUCAUUCAGUGCAUGUUCGGAUAUAAAGAGUAAACAAUCUCUACUUUUAAUGUACCAUUAUCUGCUUACCUGAAAGCUCUACAUUGUACUUCUCCUUUGUUUUUUCUUGGAGCACCUAAUUGAGAGUACCAAAUCCGACAACUCAGAUAUGUACAUGCCAGUGAAUAGAAGUGAGAAAACUCCAUUUAAUUUAUGCAGAGAUGAUAUGUUUACUACGUUACUUCAGUUUGAUUCCUUGCACAAGCUUAAUGGUUAUGGGAAAAUUAACAUGCUUGCUUGAUUAGCUUCUGAUUGUUACAUGAAUAUCAUUUAUAUUAGGGGCUAAAUUCUAUUUCUAUCAUAUUUCUAACUUUUGCUAAUUUACUACUUUGAAAGGGAUGACUAAAGAGGAUCCGCUGAAACCUUGUGAAACUUGUGAUUGAAGACUAACCUUAUGCAAAUGACCUACUCAUAUAUUCUAAUCAUGUUGGUUGUUGAAUUGAUUAUGCUUUGAGCUCCCUCUAAAUUACUUUCUUGAAUUUACAUAUAAAGUUUAAACGAAAAAUCUAGCUGAUUGCAAGAUAAAGAUAGCUUUAAAUCCACUAAUUUAUUGUUGCUUACCUCAUCAUCAAUUAUUUAGAAUAGUGUCCUAUUGGUGUAACUUCUAUUGUUGGAGGUAUUCUACAUAUGAUGUACUUUAUGAUGCCAUUAUUAAGAAUAACAUUUAAUCUAAAUUUUAUAUUACCAAUAUGAUCGUGAAAUAGAGAUAAAUGGUAACCUCUAUAAUGUGAAGUAUGAUGAAGGAAGGUCUAUUGAAUUUUUCACUAUUGUCGAUGCCAGAUAAAUAUUAAAUGGAGAUUUGGACGGUUAUGGCUCUUGUUUGCCAUAUAAUUUUAGGCGUUCAAUAUCUUGGCUCUAGCUUCUUUCAUCCAUGUUUCCUUUUCUGUUAACCUGAGUUUUACCUGAGCAUUUUUCUAUUAUUACUUAUUUUGCAAUAGCCUCAAGCAUUUGAAUUGGCACAUUUACUGGUUUCUCCUCCGCAUGUUCUUUCCCUCUCUGUUUUUCUGUUCUUUUUUUAUAUUUAUUUGAGGUCUUCUGAGUUAGAUUCCAUUACUGAAUCUCUGUUUGUUUGAUGAUUGAGCUACUAAGAGUAGUUCUGUUCCAGUUCCAUAUUGGCACUGAUGUGCUAGCAGACACCAUUUUUGCUUUAUUUUAACUUUCUUAUUUGUAUAUUUCCUAUGCGCUAAUUUCAUUCGAGAAAGAAAGAUUUGAUCGUGUCGGUAUUCAUUCUCCAUUGCGUGCAGGUUGGACAUAUAAAGAGCAACGAAUCUCCACAUUGAUGUGCCAUCAUCUGUUUAUCUAAAAGCACUACGUUGUACUUCUUCUCUUUUUUUUUUUGAAGCACCUAAUUGAGAAUACUAAAACUGACAUCUCAGAAGAUAGGUACAUUCCAAGGAAUGUAAGUGAGAAGGUUAUCAAAAAGGAAUGCGAGUGAGAAAACAUCAUUUAAUUUCUCUGAAGAUGAUGUUCAACUGAGAAGGUUAUCAAAAAGGAAUGCGAGUGAGAAAACAUCAUUUAAUUUCUCUGAAGAUGAUGUUCACCACAUUACUCAAUUUGAUUCCUUGCACAAACUUAACGUGACGUUAAAAUCAACAUGCUUCUUGCUUAGCAUCUGAUUAUCACAGAGAUAUCACUUAUGUUUGGGGCUGAAUUCUCUUUCUAGAAUAUCUCUUACUUUUAGUGAUUGGUGACUGUGCUAACUUCUUUUUGCUUAAUCUUUCUCCCUUCUCCGGGUAAUGGACUUAACUUGAUUGAUAAAGUUGCUCAUUGUUCUUAUUGUUUGCCCUUUUUAUUAGUUUAUACUUCUGUAGGAGACCUCUUGAUUACUUAACAUCCUUAGGGAAUCAUAGAUUUACUAAAGUUGUAAACAUUCUUCAAUCUGCCCAACCAGUUCAAGGUUGUUAAGAUUCUUAAAAUGAAACAACAAUAAUUGAAAUAGUAUUAAGACACAACUGAAUUAUUCUAUUUGUCUGGUUUUAUAAUAUUGUUGAGUUCUUGAUGCUUAUAUGUCUGCAUUAGACUAAUUUGUUUCAUUUGUGUCGCAGUUACUUAUAUAUACUCUUGAUUUGUGAUACAGGAAUUGCUGCCUAGGAAGAUUACUUUGUGGAAGUUAAAGGAUAUAAAUUGCUUAAUAUAGGUGAAAAGUAUAGCUUGAGUCAAAGUCGGGGAUGCGGAUUAUUUGUAUUCUCUCUAAAGAAAUACUUCAAGCUAGAGGUGUAUUCACUUAGAGCUAAUUCGAUACUUGUAUCUUUCAGUGUUUAUUGAUUGGUUUGAAGAUGUAGUUCCUCCUGAAAUAUUGUGCCUGAGCAAAUGUGUGGCAAAUGUCAUUUUGCAUGGCUAUCCUCGGGGUGCAAUUUGAAGAAGGAAGCAACUAUCAUUGUGCUUGUGAAAUACCGAUAAACUUAUUUCACUUAUGUAUUUGUGAAAUCAUAGCUAUUGUAUUAGGUAUUUAUUGUUAUAUAUGUUGUCUAUCGCCAUUUGGCAGUUGUUUACGUGCAUAUAUUUUUGUUAUCUGCCAUUCUUAUCAAAACAAAAUUAAUAAAAUAUAAUAUUUUCAACUUUUAUAAUAUU
This 5025-nucleotide long non-coding RNA is filed under the name Nicotiana tabacum (common tobacco). RNAcentral describes it as "long non-coding RNA (NTAB_LNC001100)". The record is from RNAcentral. Lineage: Eukaryota; Viridiplantae; Streptophyta; Magnoliopsida; Solanales; Solanaceae.